This is a long non-coding RNA of Felis catus (domestic cat), 2373 nucleotides long. RefSeq lists it as uncharacterized. The record is from RefSeq and is a predicted model, not a curated record. The transcript is spliced from 2 exons. NCBI's taxonomy places the organism in Eukaryota, Metazoa, Chordata, Mammalia, Carnivora, Felidae.
CCCAGGCGCCCCUAACGACAGUUCUUUAGCAAAUGACUCAUGCCUGGGGUUCCCGAGAGGAGAGUAGGAAUAAACACGUGAGCAAAGGAACGAGCUACAACAAAGAGCUCUUGGGGGCAGAGGUCCUCCUUCAAGAUUGGCUGCGACCCCAGCUUGGGCCAGUGGGCCAGGAAGGAUGCACCCCACUGCCUUCACCGUGGAAAUGAUAAAAGGGCCCCUCGGAGAGGUGAGGCCACUCACCCAGAAUCACUCGUCUUGUAAGUGGCAUCUUCCUGGGCCCUUGAAUCUGUGCCUUCCUGGGACAUCACACCCCAGGGUGGGUAUUAACUGGGGAGAGAGCGAUGUUGCCAGCCAGAGGGGCAGCAGGGGUAGGGGGUGCCCGAGCACUGGGAAAGCUGGGAUUUGCAAAAGUGAGGUUGCGAGCCCUCCCGUGAUGGGGGUGCUGUGUCCUGGGCACGCCCCAGAGCUCCAGGGGGCUGACCAGACGCUCUCAGUGGCUCCCUCAGAGACGUCACUCCUGCUCAGCCUGACGCCCCCACUCUGAGCCCUCCCCGUGCCCCCCUGCCAGCACAGCGGGCCCUCCUCUCUAUGCUGCCACCUCCUUGGCUUCGCAACUCCUGUUGGCACGGCCACCACGUGCAGGACAUUCUGCCUGCAGACCGGGUCUAAGCGUAUGGCACCAGGUCACGCAUAUCCCACCAUCUGUGCCAGGUGACGUCAGCUGAUGGCUCUGGUUGAUGUCAGUGUGUGCACCCAGGGCCCACCUCCACAGCCCAAAUUCCUUACCAUUCCCACUUCCGGUUCCCCUCCUAUGGAAUGAAUUGUUACCCGCCCCCCACCCCCCACACACAUAGGUUCAUAGGUAGAAGCUCCAACCAAUGAGACCGUUAUUUUGAGUCGGGGCCUUUAAGUAGGUGAUUCAGGGUAAGUGAUGUCAUAGAGGUGGGGCCCUUUCUGAUGAAGUCGGCGUCCCCCAAGCAGAGGGAGAGACACCUGAGAGCUCUCUCUGUCUCUGAGCGUAUGCACAGAGGAAAAGCCAUGUGAAAGCCCAGCGAGCAGGGAGCCUGUCUCCAAGCCAAGGAGAGAGGCCUCACCGGGAAGUACCUUGCCGACAUCUGUACCUUGGAUUUGGGGUCUCCAGAAUUGUGAGAAAAGAAAUGUCUGUGAUCCUCGGUGGCAUUGUUGUCACCGCAGCCUGAGCAGACUCGGGCAUCCCCUGUGGCCAACAGGGGGGCACGUCACAUACCCUCAGGGGGCCCCCCCGACAAGCUCUGUCCUGCCCGGAUUUCAGAUCAGUGUUGGGUGACCCUCUGGCUAGAAAUGGCUGACGCUCCCUCACUCGACGGCCGGUGUCUGAGGACAGGCCGCCCACCGGCCCCUCGGGCUGUGGGGCUUCCCCACCACUCUGGGACCUGUUCUAAAACUCCUUUCAAGCCCAUGGGCGACCCCGCAACGAUCGAUGCAUUCCUUUUUUCCUCGAGUUAGAGGUGUUUUCACUGCAGUGAAAAAAACCCCAGUUUGGAUGCUUUCUCGGGCUAUGCAUGUGUGUUGCUUCGCAGUAGAGGUCUAGUGGAAUGCUGACUCCAAAACCUUGGGCCAACCCUAAGAGAAGGAGUUGAAGUUGGGAGAAGAAAAAGCAGGCACAGUUUUGGCAUCCGUACACUCCCAUUAGGAUCAUUCAAGGUUGUUUCCCAGAAGAGAAAUAAAUGAAGGAAGGGAUCUGGCGGGCCAGGAGAGUUUCCGGAAUCACCAUCCUCACCAGUGACAUCGCCGCCAUCACCAUUACCACCACCACCACCACCACCACCAUCACCAUCACCAUCACCAUCAACGCCAUCACCAUCAUGAUUCCCGUCAUCAUCACCAUCAUCGUCACCAUCAUCAACACCACCAUCAUCAUCAUCACUAACUUUAUCUGACCACCUAUGUGCCCGGAACCCUGCUCACGCCUCAAUGUCCUUAGCACCUCCCUCUAAUUUUUUUUCCGUGCGCUCUAUUCAGUAUCUCUUCAUGGCGCUUACCUCUCCUGGGCAUUACGUCAUAGAUUUAUUUGUUGACGUGUGUUUCCUCUGCCCUCUUUUGCCCAGAAUGUGAACUCCACAAGGACUUUUGUUUUAUUGGCAGUAGGACUCCCAGGAUCUAGCCCAGGGCUUGUGACGUGAGAGGCGACCAGUAAAUUGUAGUUGAAUGAAAGGACAUUAAGGACAACUCUGUGAGCUGAUGCUGUCACACUUGUCACCACAGAAGUCAGGGGAGUCAAGCUCACUGCAGCCACGUAGCUUGGCCAAGCGCGUCGGUGUAGAAUUAGAAUUCAGCAUCAGGUAGUUACCGCAACCUCAGAGUCUUUAACCUCUAGAACAAGCUGUACCUUAA